Molecule: ribosomal RNA, 253 nt
Filed under: uncultured bacterium
Lineage: Bacteria
Description: partial 16S ribosomal RNA
Rfam family: Bacterial small subunit ribosomal RNA
Source: RNAcentral
UACGUAGGGGGCAAGCGUUGUCCGGAAUCAUUGGGCGUAAAGAGCGCGUAGGCGGCCCUGUAAGUCCGCUGUGAAAGUCAAGGGCUCAACCCUUGAAUGCCGGUGGAUACUGCAGGGCUAGAGUCCGGAAGAGGCGAGUGGAAUUCCUGGUGUAGCGGUGAAAUGCGCAGAUAUCAGGAAGAACACCCGUGGCGAAAGCGGCUCUCUGGAACGGUACUGACGCUGAGACGCGAAAGCGUGGGGAGCGAACAGG